This 313-nucleotide ribosomal RNA is filed under the name Clavulina sp. 1 ITS-313ek. RNAcentral's name for it is "eukaryotic LSU rRNA". The stretch from base 256 to 313 matches the Rfam family "Eukaryotic large subunit ribosomal RNA", at positions 1 to 58 of the family's 3401-position model. Lineage: Eukaryota; Fungi; Basidiomycota; Agaricomycetes; Cantharellales; Hydnaceae. The record is from RNAcentral.
ACGCCUGUUCGAGUGUCGUGAAAUUCUCAAACUGGGAUGCUUUUUUGUUUCUCGGCUUGGUGUUGGGCUUUGCAGUUCCUUUGAUUGGGAUGGCUGGCCUCAAAAGCAUUAGCUGGCUUUUCAUGUGGCAUUGGUUCUACUCAGCGUGAUAAUAAUCUGACCGCCGAGGACAUCUUUCGAGAUGGCCAAUUCUCAUUUGGGCUGCUUCUAAUUUUGGUAGAGCGGAUUCUGAAUCUGUUCCACUUUUUCAACUUUUGACCUCGAAUCAGGUGGGACUACCCGCUGAACUUAAGCAUAUCAAUAAGCGGAGGAA